RNAcentral lists this ribosomal RNA (689 nucleotides) under Emiliania huxleyi. RNAcentral describes it as "SSU rRNA". It matches the Rfam family "Eukaryotic small subunit ribosomal RNA", at positions 625 to 1319 of the family's 1831-position model. The record is from RNAcentral. Lineage: Eukaryota; Haptophyta; Isochrysidales; Noelaerhabdaceae.
CGCUCGUAGUCGGAUUUCGGGGCGGGCCGACCGGUCUGCCGAUGGGUAUGCACUGGCCGGCGCGUCCUUCCACCCGGAGACCGCGCCUACUCUUAACUGAGCGGGCGCGGGAGACGGGUCUUUUACUUUGAAAAAAUCAGAGUGUUUCAAGCAGGCAGUCGCUCUUGCAUGGAUUAGCAUGGGAUAAUGAAAUAGGACUCUGGUGCUAUUUUGUUGGUUUCGAACACCGGAGUAAUGAUUAACAGGGACAGUCAGGGGCACUCGUAUUCCGCCGAGAGAGGUGAAAUUCUCAGACCAGCGGAAGACGAACCACUGCGAAAGCAUUUGCCAGGGAUGUUUUCACUGAUCAAGAACGAAAGUUAGGGGAUCGAAGACGAUCAGAUACCGUCGUAGUCUUAACCAUAAACCAUGCCGACUAGGGAUUGGAGGAUGUUCCAUUUGUGACUCCUUCAGCACCUUUCGGGAAACUAAAGUCUUUGGGUUCCGGGGGGAGUAUGGUCGCAAGGCUGAAACUUAAAGGAAUUGACGGAAGGGCACCACCAGGAGUGGAGCCUGCGGCUUAAUUUGACUCAACACGGGGAAACUUACCAGGUCCAGACAUUGUGAGGAUUGACAGAUUGAGAGCUCUUUCUUGAUUCGAUGGGUGGUGGUGCAUGGCCGUUCUUAGUUGGUGGAGUGAUUUGUCUGGU